AGAUAAAUAGUUAGCUUAGAAAAGAUUGUUUAGGAAUUGUGGCAUUUAUUAGAAUGAAUAAAAUUUAAGCUAUAUGUGGAGUACAGUGAAGGAAAAUUGAAAAUGAUGUUAUUUUGGAGAAGGGGGAAGAUUGUACCUUUUGUAUAAGGGUUGAAUUAUAUUAAUAAUUAAGAAUUUAAUUCCCGAAGAUCUUUGAGCUAUAUUAAUUAUUUAUUAUGGGCGUUGUAUAUCUUGAAGGGAGUUAAUUAUAGUGAUGAAAUUUUAGUCAAAAAGAUAGAUAUCUGGUUAAAAUAUUAACAAUUAUAUAUUGAUCUAUAAUUAUUUUUUUAUUUUAAAAUUUUAUAGAUGUUAUUUAUAGGGAUAAGCUUGUAAAUUUCUUAUAAAAUUAUAUCUGGAAAGAAGGGGGUUUAAAAUUUACUAAAUUUGUAAUAAAAUAUUGAAUGUUGGAAGAUAUAUAUUAUGUUUGUGUUUUGUUUUAUUGAAUAGAAAUUUAUUGGCGUUUAUAUUAGAAUUAGUAUAAAAAGGGGAAUUUAGUAGUUUGAGACUAUAUUUAAAAAGUAAUAAAUAAGAUAAGAACUCGGCAAUUUUAGUUAUUGACUGUUUAACAAAAACAUUGUAUUUUGAUAGGAUAGAAUAUAUAACCUGCUCAAUGACAAGUUUAAUUGCUGUGGUAUUUUGACUAUACAAAGGUAUUGUAAUAAGGCUUUUAAUGGGCUCUAAAAGAAUGGUUUAACAAUGACUAUCUUUUUUACUUAUUAUAUUAGAAGUUGGUAUGAAAAUGAAAAAAUUUUCAUGAGUUUUUGGGACAAGAAGACCCUAUGAAUUUUUUUGAAAUUUUUUUUGAGAAGUUCUUAAGAAAUUUAGUUAAAGGAUAUUUCUGUUGAUUGGGGUGAUUCUUAAAGCUUGUGAAUCUUUAGGUAUAACAAUAAGAUCCAUUAUUAAUGAUUAAAUGAGAUAAAUACUCUAGGGGUAACAGCGUUAUUAUUUUGGAUAGUUCAUAUAGAUAAAAUAGUUUGCGACCUCGAUGUUGGAUUAAGAUUCUUUUGUAAUGCAGGAGUUACAAGAAGAAGUUUGCUCAACUUUUGAAAUCUUACAUGAUCUGAGUUCAGACCGACGUAAGUCAGGUUGGUUUCUAUCUAGAUAGAUAUAAAUAAUCUUUAUAGUACGAAAGGAAUAAGAGAUUAGAAUUAUUUUAAUAAAGAAAGUGUAGAAAAUACUAUAG
This 1222-nucleotide ribosomal RNA is filed under the name Ornithodoros zumpti. RNAcentral describes it as "16S ribosomal RNA". The stretch from base 969 to 1127 matches the Rfam family "Archaeal large subunit ribosomal RNA", at positions 2542 to 2701 of the family's 2987-position model. The record is from RNAcentral. Lineage: Eukaryota; Metazoa; Arthropoda; Arachnida; Ixodida; Argasidae.